CAGCCGCCGCGGUAAUACGGAGGAUGCGAGCGUUAUCCGGAUUUACUGGGUUUAAAGGGUGCGCAGGCGGUUGUUUAAGUCAGGGGUGAAAGCCCUAUGCUCAACAUAGGGAUUGCCUUUGAUACUGAACGGCUAGAGUGAAGAUGGAGUGGGUGGAAUGUGUUGUGUAGCGGUGAAAUGCAUAGAUAUAACACAGAACACCGAUCGCGAAGGCAGCUCACUAAUUUUCAACUGACGCUCAUGCACGAAAGCGUGGGGAUCAAACAGGAUUAGAUACCCUGGUAGUCCACGCUGUAAACGAUGAUCACUAGCUGUUGGUACGCAGAAGUAUCAGUGGCUAAGCGAAAGUGAUAAGUGAUCCACCUGGGGAGUACGACCGCAAGGUUGAAGCUUAAAGGAAUUGGCGGG
Molecule: ribosomal RNA, 408 nt
Filed under: uncultured microorganism
Description: bacterial SSU rRNA
Rfam family: Bacterial small subunit ribosomal RNA
Source: RNAcentral